Molecule: ribosomal RNA, 385 nt
Filed under: uncultured bacterium
Lineage: Bacteria
Description: bacterial SSU rRNA
Rfam family: Bacterial small subunit ribosomal RNA
Source: RNAcentral
AACGCGAAGAACCUUACCUGGAUUUGACAUCCCGAGAAGUCUUUUGAAAGGAAGAUGUGCCCUUCGGGGAACUCGGUGACAGGUGCUGCAUGGCUGUCGUCAGCUCGUGUCGUGAGAUGUUGGGUUAAGUCCCGCAACGGGCGCAACCCCUAUCUUUAGUUACCAUCAUUAAGUUGGGGACUCUAAAGAUACUGCCCCGGUUAACGGGGAGGAAGGUGGGGAUGACGUCAAGUCCUCAUGGCCUUUAUAUCCAGGGCUACACACGUGCUACAAUGGGCUGUACAAAGGGUUGCAAACCCGCGAGGGUAAGCUAAUCUCAUAAAGCAGCUCUAAGUUCGGAUUGGAGUCUGCAACUCGACUCCAUGAAGCUGGAAUCGCUAGUAAU